RNAcentral lists this ribosomal RNA (422 nucleotides) under uncultured bacterium. RNAcentral describes it as "bacterial SSU rRNA". It matches the Rfam family "Bacterial small subunit ribosomal RNA", at positions 64 to 507 of the family's 1533-position model. The record is from RNAcentral.
GGACGCUCAUGAGGGUUUCGGCCCUUGUGGGAGUGGCGGACGGGUGAGUAGCGCGUGGGAACCUGCCCCUUUGUGGGGGAUAACCGAGGGAAACUUCGGCUAAUACCGCAUGCGCCCCUNGGGGGAGACCUUGGGGGGAAAGAUUUAUCGCAGAGGGAGGGGCCCGCGUCGGAUUAGGUAGUUGGUGGGGUAACGGCCUACCAAGCCUUUGAUCCGUAGCUGGUCUGAGAGGAUGAUCAGCCACACUGGGACUGAGACACGGCCCAGACUCCUACGGGAGGCAGCAGUGGGGAAUAUUGGACAAUGGGCGCAAGCCUGAUCCAGCAAUGCCGCGUGAGUGAUGAAGGCCUUAGGGUUGUAAAGCUCUUUCGGCGGGGACGAUGAUGACGGUACCCGCAGAAGAAGCCCCGGCUAACUUCGUG